RNAcentral lists this ribosomal RNA (481 nucleotides) under uncultured bacterium. RNAcentral's name for it is "partial 16S ribosomal RNA". It matches the Rfam family "Bacterial small subunit ribosomal RNA", at positions 28 to 507 of the family's 1533-position model. The record is from RNAcentral.
GAUGAACGCUGGCGGCGUGCCUAACACAUGCAAGUCGAACGGAGAUUACGGACGGAAGUUUUCGGAUGGAAGACUGUAAUUCUUAGUGGCGGACGGGUGAGUAACGCGUGGGCAACCUGCCCUAUACAGGGGGAUAGCAGCUGGAAACGGCUGGUAAGACCGCAUAAGUCGGUUAAAUCGCAUGAUUUGAUCGGGAAAUGAGCAAUCAGGUAUAGGAUGGGCCCGCGUCCGAUUAGCCAGUUGGCAGGGUAAAAGCCUACCAAAGCGACGAUCGGUAGCCGGACUGAGAGGUCGGACGGCCACAUUGGGACUGAGACACGGCCCAAACUCCUACGGGAGGCAACAGUGGGGGAUAUUGCACAAUGGAGGAAACUCUGAUGCAGCGACGCCGCGUGAGUGAAGAAGUAUUUCGGUAUGUAAAGCUCUAUCAGCAGGGAAGAUGAUGACGGUACCUGACUAAGAAGCCCCGGCUAACUACGUG